AAUCCCAUCACAAACCAGACCACACAUCUGGACAUCAGCAAACUCUGUCAACCAUGUUCAGAUUUGGUGAAGCUGUGAUCCGAUUGGUCCUCUUUGCUCGGGUGGGCGUGGCUACUGUCCUUGUUCGUGACAUCAGAUCCAGGACUGAAUAAUAUUAAGCACAUAUGAUAAUGUGAUUUCAGUGAUUGACAUGUAAAUAAUUGAAUCUCCAUUUAUUUAUAAUGGCUUUAUAUAUUCACCUCCUGGUAUCAAUGUUCAUUUCCACUCUAAAAGAUGAUUUCAAAAACGCUUGAUGGCUUGUUAAACCUGUUGUGAUCAGAUUUUUUCACAGCUAAUGUGGUGUGACGUUUGAUGCAUACUAUGUGUGAUUCUUUUGUGAUGUGAUGCCAGUUUAAUAUACCACAGAAUGCUAAUAACUGAACAUCAUCUCAGUCUGUGAAUGUUUCUCCUUUCAGCAGUGCAUCCGUCAAGGCAAAAGUCUCAGGUAAUCAAAUGUGAUUUUUUCAAAAUGAACAAUUACAUUUACAGUUUACUUAAUGUUUUCAUUCAUUUACACUCAUUGUACAACACAAGAAAACAUUAUAAAUGUGAUUCACUGGUUUUUGAGUCAAAUGGA
Long non-coding RNA from Carassius auratus (goldfish), 616 nucleotides. RefSeq lists it as uncharacterized. The record is from RefSeq and is a predicted model, not a curated record. NCBI's taxonomy places the organism in Eukaryota, Metazoa, Chordata, Actinopteri, Cypriniformes, Cyprinidae. The transcript is spliced from 2 exons.